This 497-nucleotide ribosomal RNA is filed under the name uncultured bacterium. RNAcentral's name for it is "partial 16S ribosomal RNA". It matches the Rfam family "Bacterial small subunit ribosomal RNA", at positions 28 to 507 of the family's 1533-position model. The record is from RNAcentral.
GAUGAACGCUGGCGGCGUGCCUAAUACAUGCAAGUCGAGCGAACAGACGAGGAGCUUGCUCCUUUGACGUUAGCGGCGGACGGGUGAGUAACACGUGGGUAACCUACCUAUAAGACUGGGAUAACUUCGGGAAACCGGAGCUAAUACCGGAUAAUAUUUCGAAUCGCAUGGUUCGAUAGUGAAAGAUGGCUUUGCUAUCACUUAUAGAUGGACCUGCGCCGUAUUAGCUAGUUGGUAAGGUAACGGCUUACCAAGGCAACGAUACGUAGCCGACCUGAGAGGGUGAUCGGCCACACUGGAACUGAGACACGGUCCAGACUCCUACGGGAGGCAGCAGUAGGGAAUCUUCCGCAAUGGGCGAAAGCCUGACGGAGCAACGCCGCGUGAGUGAUGAAGGUCUUCGGAUCGUAAAACUCUGUUAUUAGGGAAGAACAAACGUGUAAGUAACUGUGCACGUCUUGACGGUACCUAAUCAGAAAGCCACGGCUAACUACGUG